This 311-nucleotide ribosomal RNA is filed under the name uncultured bacterium. RNAcentral's name for it is "bacterial SSU rRNA". It matches the Rfam family "Bacterial small subunit ribosomal RNA", at positions 1 to 334 of the family's 1533-position model. The record is from RNAcentral.
ACACGUGAUUCAGAGUUUGAUCCUGGCUCAGGAUGAACGCUGGCGGUAUGCUUAACACAUGCAAGUCGUACGAAGAUCUUCGAUCUUAGUGGCGGACGGGUGAGUAACACGUGAGAAUCUGCCCUUAGGAAGAGAAUAACAGCUGGAAACGGUUGCUAAUACUCUAUAUGCCGAGAGGUAAAAGGAUUUAUCCACCUUAGGAAGAGCUCGCGUCUGAUUAGCUUGUUGGUGAGGUAAUGGCUCACCAAGGCGACGAUCAGUAGCUGGUUUGAGAGGACGACCAGCCACACUGGGACUGAGACACGGCCCAG